UGCCAGACUCCUACGGGAGGCAGCAGUGGGGGAUAUUGCACAAUGGGGGGAACCCUGAUGCAGCGACGCCGCGUGGGUGAAGGAGUGCUUCGGCAUGUAAAGCCCUAUCGGCAGGGAAGAAGCAAGACGGUACCUGACUAAGAAGCCCCGGCUAACUACGUGCCAGCAGCCGCGGUAAUACGUAGGGGGCGAGCGUUAUCCGGAUUCACUGGGUGUAAAGGGAGCGUAGACGGCCAUGCAAGCCAGGGGUGAAAGCCCGGGGCCCAACCCCGGGACUGCUCUUGGAACUGCGCGGCUGGAGUGCAGGAGGGGCAGGCGGAAUUCCUAGUGUAGCGGUGAAAUGCGUAGAUAUUAGGAGGAACACCAGUGGCGAAGGCGGCCUGCUGGACUGCAACUGACGUUGAGGCUCGAAGGCGUGGGGAGUAAACAGGAUUAGAUACCCGCGUAA
RNAcentral lists this ribosomal RNA (448 nucleotides) under uncultured bacterium. RNAcentral's name for it is "bacterial SSU rRNA". It matches the Rfam family "Bacterial small subunit ribosomal RNA", at positions 329 to 793 of the family's 1533-position model. The record is from RNAcentral.